CCUACGGGAGGCAGCAGUGAGGAAUAUUGGUCAAUGGACGGAAGUCUGAACCAGCCAAGUCGCGUGAAGGAUGACGGUCCUAUGGAUUGUAAACCUCUUUUGUCAGGGAACAAGACCCGCCACGUGUGGCUGGAAGAAGAGUACCCGAAGAAAAAGAAUCGGCUAACUCCGGUCCAGCAGCCGCGGUAAUACGGAGGAUCCGAGCGUUCUCCGGAUUUAUUGGGUUUAAAGGGAGCGUAGGUGGAUUGUUAAGUCAGUUGUGAAAGUUUGCGGCUCAACCGUAAAAUUGCAGUUGAAACUGGCAGUCUUGAGUACAGUAGAGGUGGGCGGAAUGCGUGGUGUAGCGGUGAAAUGCUUAGAUAUCACGAAGAACUCCGAUUGCGAAGGCAGUUCACUGGACUGCAACUGACACUGAGGCUCGAAAGUGUGGGUAUCAAACAGGAGUAGAUACCCGAGUAGUC
This 461-nucleotide ribosomal RNA is filed under the name uncultured bacterium. RNAcentral's name for it is "partial 16S ribosomal RNA". It matches the Rfam family "Bacterial small subunit ribosomal RNA", at positions 338 to 795 of the family's 1533-position model. The record is from RNAcentral.